Molecule: ribosomal RNA, 509 nt
Filed under: Janibacter terrae
Lineage: Bacteria; Bacillati; Actinomycetota; Actinomycetes; Micrococcales; Intrasporangiaceae
Description: bacterial SSU rRNA
Rfam family: Bacterial small subunit ribosomal RNA
Source: RNAcentral
UGGAGAGUUUGAUCCUGGCUCAGGACGAGACGCUGGCGGCGUGCUUAACACAUGCAAGUCGAACGGUGAAGCUUGGAGCUUGCUUCGAGUGGAUCAGUGGCGAACGGGUGAGUAACACGUGAGCAACCUGCCCCAGACUCUGGAAUAAGCGCUGGAAACGGCGUCUAAUACUGGAUAUGUGACGGACCUGCAUGGGUACCGUCUGGAAAGUUUUUCGGUUUGGGAUGGGCUCGCGGCCUAUCAGCUUGUUGGUGAGGUAAUGGCUCACCAAGGCGACGACGGGUAGCCGGCCUGAGAGGGCGACCGGCCACACUGGGACUGAGACACGGCCCAGACUCCUACGGGAGGCAGCAGUGGGGAAUAUUGCACAAUGGGCGAAAGCCUGAUGCAGCGACGCCGCGUGAGGGAUGACGGCCUUCGGGUUGUAAACCUCUUUCAGCAGGGAAGAAGCGAAAGUGACGGUACCUGCAGAAGAAGCACCGGCUAACUACGUGCCAGCAGCCGCGGUA